GACGAACGCUGGCGGCGUGCCUAAUACAUGCAAGUUGAGCGAUGAAGAUUGGUGCUUGCACCAAUUUGAAGAGCAGCGAACGGGUGAGUAACGCGUGGGGAAUCUGCCUUUGAGCGGGGGACACCAUUUGGAAACGAAUGCUAAUACCGCAUAACAACUUUAAACAUAAGUUUUAAGUUUGAAAGAUGCAAUUGCAUCACUCAAAGAUGAUCCCGCGUUUUAUUAGCUAGUUGGUGAGGUAAAGGCUCACCAAUGCGAUGAUACAUAGCCGACCUGAGAGGGUGGUCGGCCAAAUUGGGAAUGAGACACGGCCCAAACUCCUACGGGAGGCAGCAGUAGGGAAUCUUCGGACAUGGACGAAAGUCUGACCGAGCAACGCCGCGUGAGUGAAGAAGGUUUUCGGAUCGUAAAACUCUGUUGGUAGAGAAGAACGUUGGUGAGAGUGGAAAGCUCAUCAAGUGACGGUAACUACCCAGAAAGGGACGGCUAACUACGUG
This 497-nucleotide ribosomal RNA is filed under the name uncultured bacterium. RNAcentral's name for it is "partial 16S ribosomal RNA". It matches the Rfam family "Bacterial small subunit ribosomal RNA", at positions 28 to 507 of the family's 1533-position model. The record is from RNAcentral.